CCCUUAUAACUGGCUCUCUUCAUGGUUCUCUUAAAAUUUAGGCCUCCCUUGCGAGACGAGAAUCUUCACCAUCUGAAUCAUGAGUGCCGGUGCCCGUCGUCAGUCCCUUCUCUCUCCGUUACUGGACCUGGAUCUGGAUCUCGAUCUGGACACUCAUUACCAGCUUGUGCAUCUCACUGCUGAUAUCAUGAUGCUACUUAACUAUCUUCGCAGCACCCGCUCUAGGAAUGGAGAUCCGGGGUUCCCCCCUCUUCUUCGAUACAGAAUCUGCCUACAGCAUCUACAGCAAUCUACAGCAAAUGGUUCGGCAGUGAUUUGGUUCAACCUACUAAAGAGUGGAGAAGCGGAUACCAGAACUUUGCAUGCUGCAUGCCCAGUUUUUGUAGGCAGUACGUGGGGUAAGUUUCCAGUAAGC
This is a long non-coding RNA of Ictalurus punctatus (channel catfish), 415 nucleotides long. NCBI's taxonomy places the organism in Eukaryota, Metazoa, Chordata, Actinopteri, Siluriformes, Ictaluridae. The record is from Ensembl.